UAAGUGUGUGUUCUGGUCGAAUACUCCAGAGAAGACAGGAGCUCCCUAUAUCAAACCCUAACUAGCUCAAAAUUGACAAAUUGAAAGGGGAAAUCUAACCCAAAUCGAAAUCCAAGUACAAAUUCGUGAUCACCUCGGUGAAGGGAUCAUAAGAAACUUGAUUUAUGAGAUUUGACACUUAACGAGCAAGGUGGAGGCUUGGGAAGAAACGGGUCAAACGAAUCAAGAAGGAAAAGAAAAGCGUAGCUCGGAUACGAGGUAAGUUAAGCUUACGCCUUUUAUUCUUACUACCAAAUACUUAUAAUGCACGUUGGAAUAAGUGGGAAUGGCAAGAAACCAUAAGUUAUGGUAAAAAGGGCAAAAAAAAAGGUAGACUUGUAAUCCGAACAUGGGUUAACAAAUAAUAAAAAGGAUUUGAAAGGACACCAUUUGGCAUAAGUAAAAAUGGGUCAAACAAAGCAAGAAACGACUUUUAAGCAAGAUGAAUUCAAAGAGUAAAUCGGAAUAGGUUAAAGGGAUGAAAUGGUAAUUAAAUACCAUCUCAUAAUUAUAAUUGGUCGUUUCGACUAAACGGGUCAAAUGGUGUUGUUAACACCAUUUGACAAUAAUAUCUUAUGAUCGAGUAUUGAGUUUUGUAAUCGCAGGAAUUUAACCCAUGGUUCGCAUUGCUAUUGAUUAGAAAUUAAUAGCAAAAGGUAUGUAAAUAGGUCAAUCCCAUGACUCGAGCCAGGUACGCAUAGUUAAGUUGCUAGUUAAACAUGCAAAUAUGGGUCAAAUAAUUAGCGAGAGUCCUUCGUCGUAAAUGAGGGACUAAAAAUGACCAAAACGCCUGUGAUUUGUAAAUCGGGAAAAUGACCCUUAGAGGUCGUUUAGAUACUAGUAUUAUGAUUAUGCAACUCUUAGAUAUAUGUAAGGGUUGUAAGUAUAAACCUUGAGAGUCAAAUGCCUAAGAACGGGUCAAUUACGUAGAAUGACUAUCCAAAGGGUAAAAUUAAGGAUAACGGUCUAUUAUGUUAAAUCCAUUACAAAAUAGUUGUUGUGGAAUAUAAUAGGCUAUUUAAAAAAAUGGAAAUACGAAGUGUACACAGAGAAAUGCGAGUUUGAUGCUUAAAUGCAUGAAAACUUCUAAACGGGUCAAAAUAAAGUAGGUGGUAAAAUGUUGGCUUAAGUGUAAUAAAGAAAAACGUAAACCGGGUAACGAGAGCGUAAACUAUAUGAAUAAUGGAUCCGGGUAAUGGAUGAUAGCUUAGACAUGUUAAGAAAUGAACCCCAAGCAAUUAAAAUGAGUUUGGAUAGGUUUGGAUGCAAAUUUGAUGAAAAAUAAAUGUGCAGAGUUAACACGGGCGGGUGAACUUUUGACACGGCCGGGUGAAGGGGCUGUGAAAAAUAUAUGUUAAGCUGACACGGCCCGGUGAUCUUUUGACACGGCCGGGUGAAUGGGCUGAAAACAAAAUAUAUAAUUUCUUGUAUUUAAUUAUUUUGUUCAAAUGCCUUGAUUUCUAAUCUUUUAAAUGAAAUUGUAUGAUAGGUAAAGAUGCUCUUUAGACCCUGGAGGAUGAUCAAGCCAUGUCAAGAACCGAACACACCGAACAAAGUUUCCGCAUUUUGUCUAUUUUGUUUUAUGACAUGUAAACACUUGAAAUUAUGUUUUGAAAGUUUAUCUAGCAUGAUGUAGGCUUGAAUGUUAUGAUCAAGUAUGAUCUUAAAACCAUGAAGUUUUUGUAAACUCGAAAAAUUUUGUACUAAAUGCAUGAUAAAUGUCAUAAAUCCUGUUAUU
RNAcentral lists this long non-coding RNA (1777 nucleotides) under Helianthus annuus (common sunflower). RNAcentral's name for it is "hypothetical non coding rna". The record is from RNAcentral. Lineage: Eukaryota; Viridiplantae; Streptophyta; Magnoliopsida; Asterales; Asteraceae.